RNAcentral lists this ribosomal RNA (497 nucleotides) under uncultured bacterium. RNAcentral describes it as "partial 16S ribosomal RNA". It matches the Rfam family "Bacterial small subunit ribosomal RNA", at positions 28 to 507 of the family's 1533-position model. The record is from RNAcentral.
GAUCAACGCUGGCGGCGUGCCUAAUACAUGCAAGUCGAGCGAACAGACGAGGAGCUUGCUCCUCUGACGUUAGCGGCGGACGGGUGAGUAACACGUGGAUAACCUACCUAUAAGACUGGGAUAACUUCGGGAAACCGGAGCUAAUACCGGAUAAUAUAUUGAACCGCAUGGUUCAAUAGUGAAAGACGGUUUUGCUGUCACUUAUAGAUGGAUCCGCGCCGCAUUAGCUAGUUGGUAAGGUAACGGCUUACCAAGGCAACGAUGCGUAGCCGACCUGAGAGGGUGAUCGGCCACACUGGAACUGAGACACGGUCCAGACUCCUACGGGAGGCAGCAGUAGGGAAUCUUCCGCAAUGGGCGAAAGCUUGACGGAGCAACGCCGCGUGAGUGAUGAAGGUCUUCGGAUCGUAAAACUCUGUUAUUAGGGAAGAACAAAUGUGUAAGUAACUAUGCACGUCUUGACGGUACCUAAUCAGAAAGCCACGGCUAACUACGUG